UACGUAGGGUGCAAGCGUUGUCCGGAAUUAUUGGGCGUAAAGAGCUCGUAGGCGGUCUGUCGCGUCGGAUGUGAAAAUCCAGGGCUCAACCCUGGACCUGCAUUCGAUACGGGCAGACUAGAGUUCGGUAGGGGAGACUGGAAUUCCUGGUGUAGCGGUGAAAUGCGCAGAUAUCAGGAGGAACACCGAUGGCGAAGGCAGGUCUCUGGGCCACUACUGACGCUGAGAAGCGAAAGCGUGGGGAGCGAACAGG
Molecule: ribosomal RNA, 253 nt
Filed under: uncultured bacterium
Lineage: Bacteria
Description: partial 16S ribosomal RNA
Rfam family: Bacterial small subunit ribosomal RNA
Source: RNAcentral